AUUCCAGUCGAUGCUGCUGGAGGGCACUGCUAUCAGAUUUCGACAGCCAUGCAAGUCGGCUCAACGGCUUCGUUGGGCGGCGUACGGCUCAGUAACACGUAGUUAACCUAACGUAAAGAGGCGAAUAACCUCGGGAAACUGAGGCUAAUGCACCAUAGGCUAGAACACCUGGAAGGAGUACUAGUCGAAAGGGGCGCAAAUCGCAGCGUUUCCGCUUUACGAUGGGACUGCGGCGGAUCAGGCAGAUGGCGGGGUAACGGCCCACCAUACCGAUAACCCGUAGGGGAUGUGGGAGCAUAGGCCCCGAGAAGGGCACUGAGACAAUGGCCCUAGCGCUACGGCGUGCAGCAGGCGCGCAAACUCCACAAUGCGCGUAAGCGUGAUGGGGGGAAUCUGAGUGGUUCACUUAGUGAACCUUUUGCCAAGUACAGCAAGCUUGGAGAAUAAGUGCUGGGCAAGACCGGUGGCAGCCGCCACGGUAAUACCGGCAGCACAAGUGGUGUCCACGAUUAUUGGGCUUAAAGCGCUCGUAGCCGGCCGAUGUCGUCUCGCGUGAAAUAUUGGCGCUCAACGUCAAUGCGGGCGUGAGAUACCCAUCGGCUAGGGAGCGGGUGAGGUCAGGAGUACUUAUGGGGGAGGGGCUAAAUCCUGUAAUCCCAUAAGGACUAACAGUGGCGAAGGCGCCUGACUAGAACGCAUCCGACGGUGAGGAGCGAAGGCUAGGAGAACGAAUCGGAUCAGAUACCCGAGUAGCCCUAGCAGUAAAUUAUGCAGACUCUGGUGUUGCAAGCAUCACGAAUGCUUGCAGUACCGUAGCACAAGUGUUAAGUCUGCCGCCUGGGGAGUACGGCCGCAAGGUUGAAACUUAAAGCAAUUGGCGGGGGAGCACACAAGGGGUGGAUGCUGCGGUUUAAUUGAAUCCAACGUCGGAAAUCUUACCAGAAGCGACGGCAGGGUGAAGGUCAGACUGAAGAUCUUACUUGACAAGCCGAGAGGUAGUGCAUGGCGACCGUCAGCUCGUGGUGUGAACUGUCCGGUUAAGUCCGGUAAGUCUAUGAGUGAUGCGAUGACGCAAAAACUAAAACUGAACCCAAACAUAUGUUACAUUAUCGGCAUAUACGCUGCCGGUAGAAAGGAAGGCAUAGGAGUCGAAUCUAGCGAGGAUCCGCUUAUAGAGAGAUUCGUCAAGAUCUCUAUGGACGAGUUCUCGUUGGAGCCGAACAGGAUACGCAUAGAGAAGGCGCAUGGAAACAUCACGCAUGCGUACUUCUACAACUCCAGGAUAAAGAAGUUCAUAGAAAAGACCCUGGAGAGGAAGGAACACGUAUUCAAGUACAGGAACGGCUAUUCAGGGGCGUAUUUCGCCGGGAUAUUCGACUGCAUAGGGUCCGUUGAAAAAAGCGGACUACGCAUGCGCGGCCUUGACCUUUCGGAUGCGAUGCUGCUUGAAAAACUUGGCAUGCAUACCGAGGGCUAUAAAUCGCUCAGGAUAAAGAACCAGGGCGAUUUCAUAACGCUUAUAAAGGGUUUUAGCGUAAAGGUUGCGAGCGUCGCUCAUUGACCCGGUAACGAGCGAGACCUUUGUCAACAGUUGCCACUGGCUUAGAGAUAAGCCAAGCACUCUGUUGGGACCGCCUCUGUUUAAAGAGGAGGAAGGAAAAGGCGACGAUACGUCAGUAUGCUCUGAAUCUUCUGGGCAACACGCGGCAUACAAAGAGUGGUACAAUGGGAUGCAAUGCCGAAAGGCAAAGCUAACCCCCUAAAACCACCCUAAGUUCGGAUUGAGGGCUGAAACUCGCCCUCAUGAAGCUGGAAUCCCUAGUAAUCGCUUGUCACUAUCGAGCGGUGAAUACGUCCCUGCUCCUUGCACACACCGCCUACCAAGUCACCCAAGUGGGGUCCUAGUGAGGCAACGCCUCUGGCGUUUUCGAAUUAGGGUUCCGCGAGGAGGGCUAAGGUAUAACAAGGUAUCCGUAGGGGAACCUGCGGAUAGAUCACCUC
Molecule: ribosomal RNA, 2001 nt
Filed under: Candidatus Micrarchaeum acidiphilum ARMAN-2
Lineage: Archaea; Nanobdellati; Microcaldota; Candidatus Micrarchaeia; Candidatus Micrarchaeales; Candidatus Micrarchaeaceae
Description: 16S ribosomal RNA
Rfam family: Archaeal small subunit ribosomal RNA
Source: RNAcentral